GGGGAUGAUGGGUAUCGACGAGGAACUGCACUUUUAAAAAUGGUUAGGGCGCAUCUAUGCGAUAAAUAGAAAACCAAUAGCAGCAAAGAAUGAACUUGCUGAAGCUUACGAAGCCGCGAUGUACAGGCAGUAUCAACCUGCUUAUGCAUACGCAGCCUAAGUGAGCUCUCUUUUAGGCUUCCCUAGGUACCUGCCUAUAAAGGGAUAAACCAAUCUAGGUAAGAUGUUCUUGGACUCCCGAUGGACAAGAAGAUCGAUAUACCCAUGCAUCGGCAGCUUACAAUAGGUUUGAGCAUUUUCCUUAGUAAGCAGGAAGUAAAGAUACUCUAGCCCUAGCUAAACAUUUUUAAUUGAGCUUCUUCGGAUGCGGGUUCAACUCCCGCCAUCUCCACCA
RNAcentral lists this transfer-messenger RNA (394 nucleotides) under Candidatus Roizmanbacteria bacterium. It matches the Rfam family "transfer-messenger RNA". Rfam says of the family: Bacterial tmRNA, also known as 10Sa RNA or SsrA, is named for its dual tRNA and mRNA-like properties. Its role is to liberate the mRNA from a stalled ribosome. Lineage: Bacteria; Candidatus Roizmaniibacteriota. The record is from RNAcentral.